CGCAUGCAAACAGGUACACAUUAUUGUACAUAACUAGCACAAACUAACACAAGAAUAACAAUAUCUAAAAAACGUGCCAAAGAUGGAGAAGCACAAACGAGACUAGGUCCCAUGCAUGGUGCUCGCCAUUAAUUAGUCCGGACAGUUCAGACAAAACAACACAUUAAUAUAGAAUAGAAAAAGUACACUAGAAGAAGUACAGAAAUUAAGAGAGAGGAGAAGAGAACGACUGAUCUAGAAGAUAUUAUUCAGUCGUGAUCAAUGAGUGUGAGCUAGGUACGUCAGGAGUGUAAGCAGUAGCAGUAAGUUGGAGGUAAGACUUGUGGAGGUAUGUUUUGAAGGAGGAGAGAGUGUCGAAGCUGUUCGAAGGAGCAGUUUUACCAGGGCCGCCCAGAGGGGGGGGGGGGCAGGGGGGGAGGGGCCAAAUUGCCCCGGGCCCCGAGUUGCUGGGGGGCCCUGAAAAAUUUUUGUUGGGCCCCAGCCUUUUUUGUGUGUUAAAUAUUUCCGGGACACCAGACUUCACAUCCGUACGUGAGCUGUGUUUUAACC
Molecule: non-coding RNA, 549 nt
Organism: Paramuricea clavata
Lineage: Eukaryota; Metazoa; Cnidaria; Anthozoa; Malacalcyonacea; Plexauridae
Source: the annotation of a GenBank genome assembly